This 275-nucleotide unclassified non-coding RNA is filed under the name Hevea brasiliensis (rubber tree). Lineage: Eukaryota; Viridiplantae; Streptophyta; Magnoliopsida; Malpighiales; Euphorbiaceae. The record is from RNAcentral.
UGCGGAUCAAUCGUGGUGAGCAUGAUGUUGGAUUCUAUGGAGGAAGAUGAGAUUUGGUAUUGGGAAUGGGGAUUUUGCCGUGCCAGCCCUCAACUCCAUGCACAUGCCAAACUAUGUUGUUCUUUGGUAUUUUGUUGUAGCAUAGAGAAAGCAAGAAGAGAUCGACGAUAUUAUUCGAUUGAUGAGAGUCAGGAGAGGAGCACUCAUGGUUAAGAGAAGCACCAAAAGGUAAAAAGCCGGGAGGAGUUUUGAUCAGAUACUUCACAAAAAAAAGC